GACGAACGCUGGCGGCGUGCCUAAUACAUGCAAGUCGAGCGCAGGAAGCUGACGGAACUCUUCGGAGGGAAGGCAGCGGAAUGAGCGGCGGACGGGUGAGUAACACGUAAGGAACCUGCCUCAAGGAUUGGGAUAACUCCGAGAAAUCGGAGCUAAUACCAGAUAGUUCAACGGACCGCAUGGUCCGCUGAUGAAAGGCGCUCCGGCGUCACCUUGAGAGGGCCUUGCGGUGCAUUAGCUAGUUGGUGGGGUAACGGCCCACCAAGGCGACGAUGCAUAGCCGACCUGAGAGGGUGAUCGGCCACACUGGGACUGAGACACGGCCCAGACUCCUACGGGAGGCAGCAGUAGGGAAUCUUCCACAAUGGACGAAAGUCUGAUGGAGCAACGCCGCGUGAGUGAUGAAGGUUUUCGGAUCGUAAAACUCUGUUGUAAGGGAAGAACACGUACGAGAGGAAAUGCUCGUACCUUGACGGUACCUUACGAGAAAGCCACGGCUAACUACGUGCCAGCAGCCGCCGUAA
Molecule: ribosomal RNA, 524 nt
Filed under: uncultured bacterium
Lineage: Bacteria
Description: partial 16S ribosomal RNA
Rfam family: Bacterial small subunit ribosomal RNA
Source: RNAcentral